This 436-nucleotide ribosomal RNA is filed under the name uncultured eukaryote. Its description in RNAcentral is "SSU rRNA". It matches the Rfam family "Eukaryotic small subunit ribosomal RNA", at positions 592 to 1016 of the family's 1831-position model. The record is from RNAcentral.
CAAGAGCGUAUAUUAAAGUUGUUGCAGUUAAAAAGCUCGUAGUUGGAUUUCUGGUCAAAUGCGCCUGGCCCGCGGCCGUAAGGUCUGUGAGUGCCGGUGCGCGUUUACCAUCCUUCUAGAAAACGUUUCUACCCUUUACUGGGCCGGACUCGCGAUCUAGAUCUUUUACUUUGAAAAAAUUAGAGUGUUUAAAGCAGGCUUUUGCUAUGAAUACAUUAGCAUGGAAUAAUAAUCUAGGACUUCGGUUCUAUUUUGUUUGGUUUCGUUAGUACUGAAGUAAUGAUUGAUAGGGAGUAGUUGGGGGUUGGCUAGUAUUGGUCCGGCCAGAGGUGAAAUUACUUGGAUUCGGUCAAGACUAACUUAUGCGAAAGCAUUCACCAAGGAUGUCUUCUUUAAUCAAGAACGAAAGUUGGGGGAGUCGAGAUGAUCAGAUACC